GACGUAGGAGGCGAGCGUUGUCCGGAUUCAUUGGGCGUAAAGAGCGCGCAGGCGUCGUGCAAGUCGCGUGUGAAAGCCCCCGGCUCAACUGGGGAGGGUCACGCGAUACUGCUCGACUCGAAGGCAGGAGAGGGAAGUGGAAUUCCCGGUGUAGUGGUGAAAUGCGCAGAUAUCAGGAGGAACACCGGUGGCGAAGGCGGUUCUCUGGCAUGUCCUGACGCUGAGGAGCGAAAGUGUGGGAGCGAACAGG
Molecule: ribosomal RNA, 250 nt
Filed under: uncultured bacterium
Lineage: Bacteria
Description: partial 16S ribosomal RNA
Rfam family: Bacterial small subunit ribosomal RNA
Source: RNAcentral